GACGGAGGGCGCGAGCGUUGUUCGGAAUUACUGGGCGUAAAGCGCGCGCAGGCGGAUACGCAAGUCGGAGGUGAAAGCCCGGGGCUCAACCCCGGGACGCCCUCCGAUACUGUGUGUCUGGGGACUGGUAGAGGCAGGUGGAAUUCCCGGUGUAGCGGUGGAAUGCGUAGAUAUCGGGAAGAACACCGGUGGCGAAGGCGGCCUGCUGGGCCAGAUCCGACGCUGAGGCGCGAAAGCGUGGGGAGCAAACAGG
RNAcentral lists this unclassified non-coding RNA (253 nucleotides) under uncultured Gemmatimonadota bacterium. RNAcentral describes it as "uncultured Gemmatimonadetes bacterium contains 16S-23S intergenic spacer region". It matches the Rfam family "Bacterial small subunit ribosomal RNA", at positions 524 to 776 of the family's 1533-position model. The record is from RNAcentral. Lineage: Bacteria; Pseudomonadati; Gemmatimonadota.